GGAGAGCAGGAAUGGCAGGAGAGCGGUGAGAGACCUCCGUCCCAGUGAGGAUGACAUGUUCUAACUCAGGAAAUGAAUAGAUGCUCUUGCGAUUGAAGAAAAAUCUACGCUGGAGGCAGACAGGCUGGCAGAUAAGGAGACUGAAGCAUCUAGAGUUGGAGUAAUUUCCACAAGAUCACAGGAACAUGGAUGGAGCUGGAGGCCAUUAUCCUUAGCAAACUGACAUAGGAACAGAAAACCAAAUACUGCAUGUUCUCACUUAUAAGUGGGAGCCAAAUGAGGCAAGAUUUCACUCUGUCACCCAGACUGGAGUGCAGUGGCACAAACAUAGCUCACUGAAGCCUCAAACUCCUGGGCUCAAGAGAUCCUUCUGCUUCAGCCUCCUGAGUAGCUGGGACUUCAGAAUCCCAGUCCUCUCUCUCUCACUGACCCCGAAGAUAAGCAUUGGAAAGGGGAGCUUUGGGGAAAUGAAUCUGCCCUGUCAUCUGCGUAUAGAGCUAAUCUUAAAUCCCAACUGCCAAAUGGAUCCUGAGGUGUCAGAAACUCUCCCGAGAUAAGGGGGCUUCUAGCAACCAUCUGCAUUCUGGACCCAGAUGAGAAAACCAGGGGAAGCAGAGGUAAGAACCUGUUCAAGAAGGCACAUCUCAGAUGUGGAAGAACCAUGAUUCAACUCGAGUCUGUCUGCUUCCCAAGACUGUGGUAUUUAAACAGCUUAUAAUGAAAAUUCCUUCUAUAGCUCCCCAUAAAAGGGCACACAGUUCUUUCUUAAC
Long non-coding RNA from Homo sapiens (human), 770 nucleotides. Ensembl annotates it as long intergenic non-protein coding RNA 970. Lineage: Eukaryota; Metazoa; Chordata; Mammalia; Primates; Hominidae. The record is from Ensembl.